AGUCUUAUAGUUUAGUAAAACACUAAAUUGCAAAUUUAGGCAUAGUCUUGUUUAGGCUUAAGACUU
RNAcentral lists this transfer RNA (66 nucleotides) under Cyphonia clavata. Its description in RNAcentral is "tRNA-Cys". It matches the Rfam family "tRNA". Rfam says of the family: Transfer RNA (tRNA) molecules are approximately 80 nucleotides in length. Their secondary structure includes four short double-helical elements and three loops (D, anti-codon, and T loops). The record is from RNAcentral. Lineage: Eukaryota; Metazoa; Arthropoda; Insecta; Hemiptera; Membracidae.